GACGAACGCUGGCGGCGUGCUUAACACAUGCAAGUCGAACGGUGAAGGGACCGGUUUUUGCUGGUUCUGGAUGAGUGGCGAACGGGUGAGUAACACGUGAGUAACCUGCCCCCUUCUUCUGGAUAACCGCAUGAAAGUGUGGCUAAUACGGGAUAUUCUGCGCCUGCCGCAUGGUGGGUGUGGGAAAGAUAUUGUUUCGGUGGGGGAUGGGCUCGCGGCCUAUCAGCUUGUUGGUGGGGUGAUGGCCUACCAAGGCGGUGACGGGUAGCCGGCCUGAGAGGGUGGACGGUCACACUGGGACUGAGACACGGCCCAGACUCCUACGGGAGGCAGCAGUGGGGAAUAUUGCACAAUGGGCGCAAGCCUGAUGCAGCGACGCCGCGUGAGGGAUGGAGGCCUUCGGGUUGUAAACCUCUUUCGCCAGUGAAGCAGGCCUGUCCCUUUUGUGGGUGGGUUGACGGUAGCUGGAUAAGAAGCGCCGGCUAACUACGUG
RNAcentral lists this ribosomal RNA (493 nucleotides) under uncultured bacterium. Its description in RNAcentral is "partial 16S ribosomal RNA". It matches the Rfam family "Bacterial small subunit ribosomal RNA", at positions 28 to 507 of the family's 1533-position model. The record is from RNAcentral.